UGGAAUUCGCCCUUAGAGUUUGAUCAUGGCUCAGGAUGAACGCUGGCGGCGUGCUUAACACAUGCAAGUCGAACGAACCUUCGGGUUAGUGGCGGACGGGUGAGUAACGCGUGGGAAUCUGCCCUCAGGAGGGGGAUAACGGUUGGAAACGACCGCUAAUACCCCAUAUGCCGAGAGGUGAAAUGAAUUUCGCCUGAGGAUGAGCCCGCGUCUGAUUAGCUUGUUGGUGAGGUAAUGGCUCACCAAGGCAUCGAUCAGUAGCUGGUCUGAGAGGAUGAUCAGCCACACUGGGACUGAGACACGGCCCAGACUCCUACGGGAGGCAGCAGUGGGGAAUUUUCCGCAACGGGCGAAAGCCUGACGGAGCAACGCCGCGUGAGGGACGAAGGCCUCUGGGCUGUAAACCUCUUUUCUCAAGGAAGAAGAUAUGACGGUACUUGAGGAAUAAGCCACGGCUAAUUCCGUGCCAGCAGCCGCGGUAAUACGGGAGUGGCAAGCGUUAUCCGGAAUUAUUGGGCGUAAAGCGUCCGCAGGCGGCUUUUCAAGUCUGCUGUUAAAACGUGGAGCUUAACUCCAUCAUGGCAGUGGAAACUGAUUUGCUUGAGUAUGGUAGGGGCAGAGGGAAUUCCCGGUGUAGCGGUGAAAUGCGUAGAUAUCGGGAAGAACACCAGUGGCGAAGGCGCUCUGCUGGGCCAUUACUGACGCUCAUGGACGAAAGCCAGGGGAGCGAAAGGGAUUAGAUACCCCUGUAGUCCUGGCCGUAAACGAUGAACACUAGGUGUCGGGGGAAUCGACCCCUUCGGUGUCGUAGCUAACGCGUUAAGUGUUCCGCCCUGGG
This 838-nucleotide ribosomal RNA is filed under the name uncultured Prochlorococcus sp. Its description in RNAcentral is "bacterial SSU rRNA". It matches the Rfam family "Bacterial small subunit ribosomal RNA", at positions 1 to 878 of the family's 1533-position model. The record is from RNAcentral. Lineage: Bacteria; Bacillati; Cyanobacteriota; Cyanophyceae; Synechococcales; Prochlorococcaceae.